Long non-coding RNA from Hibiscus syriacus, 1399 nucleotides. RefSeq lists it as uncharacterized. Lineage: Eukaryota; Viridiplantae; Streptophyta; Magnoliopsida; Malvales; Malvaceae. The record is from RefSeq and is a predicted model, not a curated record. The transcript has 5 exons.
CUCCAAAGUCCCCAAAAUUCCUCCCUGUUUUGGCUUUCAAAACCCCAAAUCCAAUUCCGAAUUACUUCUUAUUUUUCACCUUUCUUCUUCUUCUUCUUCUUUUGAACCCACAGUUUCUUUAAAAAUAUUUUGCAUUUUGCUAGAUCUAGGGUUCUUCGUCAAUCAAAAUUUUUGAGUAGACUGAAAAUAUGGAUAUUCCUCAAGAAAUCGGCGAUUACAUAAAAGGAACAAUCGAUGAUUCCUUAGGUCUUCAAGUCUCCACAGAAUCUUUGCUAUUGAAACUCCGUACCUCCGAAGAAACUCAGCGCCACCUCCGUGAGUAGUAUCUGUUCCUUCUCUCAAAACUAAAAGAGAAAGAUCAAGUCAUCGAGCAGUCAAAGGCGGAAGCGAAUAUGAAUGCUGUGGUGUUGAAGAGAUUCGUGCAAGAGAAUCAGAAGCUAGCGGCAGAGUGUGCGAAUUUGUUGACCCAGUGUAACAAAUGGGAAAGAGAGUGUUUGCUUUAUGACCGUGAUAGGGAGGCGUUGAUGGAUUUUGGAAAUGAGGCUGAUGAGAGGGCAAAGAAAGCUGAGAUUAGGGUUCAUGAUUUGGUAGAGGACUUAGGGUCGUUAAAUGAAGAAUUAAGGUUCUACAAAAACCGCUACGACAACCAAGGGGUAAUUUUAGGGACGACUUUGAUUGAUCCAUAUUCUGAGGGCACAACAGUGGAAGAGAAUUAACUUGAUUCGGUUCUAGCAACAUUGGUUUGUAAAGAUGAAGUUACAUCUGGACGAGCAUUCUUGGAGGCAAAUACUUCCCUUGAAUCAUGCCAAAGGUUGCUUAAAAUGUGGAAUAGGUUGAGGCCUUCAACUCAAAAAAUUUUGUCACUAGUUGCUGAAGUAAAGACCCUUAUGAAAGACAAGGAACAUCUCUAGCUAAACCUUAGUAAAGCUGAAGAAGAGGUGAGAACCAAAGAAUUUGAACGCGGGGUGCUUGUUGAAAUUUCUAUUCCCCUUGUCCAAACUUAACAAGGUAUUUUAUCUAUAUAGGCGAAAGUUCUGUUUGAAGAAAACAACAUGUUGGAUGAGGCGAACCGAAAAUUAUUGAGGCAAUCCCGUGAAGGAAAGAAUAUCCAUGAUUCUGGUGGGAAACAUACUAGCAGUGCAUCUGCAAAGACAAACAAAAGAAAAUCGAGUCCUAAGAUAUGCAGCCCGAUUGAGAAGAAGAUUAACUUUACCAAUCCAGAUUCAGCAAGAAAGCCUCUGUCACCAUUGCAAGAUAGGACCUAACUUAAUAGUUUAUUCUUUGUAUCAAUGAUGGUGUUUUAAGUAGAUUUACAGAUAGCUUUGCUGAAGCUACAGUCUGUGUAGUUUGUUAGUGAUAUAGUUUCAAACACCGGAAUGAAAGUCCAUUCGUUUUCAUG